CUCCAAUAAUGAUAGCAAUUUUUCUAAAAAGAAAUCCGACUGGGGAGGUCAAAAUAUGAUAACUGAACUCCGCUCAGAAUAAUUUUUUCAUUAACAAUGGUUCAUCGUUGCUAACAAAUACAUGUACAUUAAAUUACCUAUGAUGGUGUUUGUACCCGUCCGUAUUACCCUAGGACGUCUUUUUGCACACGCGCUUCGUUUGUAUCUAUUG
This is a non-coding RNA of Cinara cedri, 211 nucleotides long. Lineage: Eukaryota; Metazoa; Arthropoda; Insecta; Hemiptera; Aphididae. The record is from the annotation of a GenBank genome assembly.